ACGGAAGGCAGCAGUGGGGAAUAUUGCACAAUGGGGGAAACCCUGAUGCAGCGACGCCGCGUGAGUGAAGAAGUAUUUCGGUAUGUAAAGCUCUAUCAGCAGGGAAGAAAGUGACGGUACCUGACUAAGAAGCCCCGGCUAACUACGUGCCAGCAGCCGCGGUAGUACGUAGGGGGCAAGCGUUAUCCGGAUUUACUGGGUGUAAAGGGAGCGCAGACGGUAAGAUAAGUCUGAUGUGAAAACCCGGGGCUCAACCCCGAGGAUUGCCUUUGGAACUGUGGAACUGGAGUGCUGGAGGGGCAGGCGGAAUUCCUGGUGUAGCGGUGAAAUGCGUAGAUAUCAGGAGGAACACCGGUGGCGAAGGCGGCCUGCUGGACAGUAACUGACGCUGAGGCUCGAAAGCGUGGGGAGCAAACAGGAUUAGAUACCCUGGUA
This 435-nucleotide ribosomal RNA is filed under the name uncultured Lachnospiraceae bacterium. RNAcentral's name for it is "partial 16S ribosomal RNA". It matches the Rfam family "Bacterial small subunit ribosomal RNA", at positions 341 to 792 of the family's 1533-position model. Lineage: Bacteria; Bacillati; Bacillota; Clostridia; Lachnospirales; Lachnospiraceae. The record is from RNAcentral.